Molecule: ribosomal RNA, 663 nt
Filed under: Micromonas commoda
Lineage: Eukaryota; Viridiplantae; Chlorophyta; Mamiellophyceae; Mamiellales; Mamiellaceae
Description: bacterial SSU rRNA
Rfam family: Eukaryotic small subunit ribosomal RNA
Source: RNAcentral
GUUGGCGUUUGAAAGCUCGUAGUUGGAUUUCGGUUAAGAGCGACCGGUCCGCCGUUUGGGGCGGCUGGUUGGUUUUAACUUCCUGUAGAGGACGCGCUCUGGGCUUACGUUUUGGACUCGCACUCUACGUGGUUCCUUUGAAAAAAUUAGCUUGUUCAAAGGCGGCUUACCCUUGAAUAGUUCUGCAGGGAAUAACACUAUAGGACUCCUGUCCUAUUUCGUUGGUCUCGUGACCGGGGUCAUGAUAACCAGGAAUAGUUGGGGGCAUUCGUAUUUCAUUAUCUGAGGUGAAAUUCUUGGAUUUAUGAAAGACGAACUUCUGCGAAAGCAUUUGCCAAGGAUGUUUUCAUUAAUCAAGAACGAAAGUUGGGGGCUCGAAGAUGAUUAGAUACCAUCCUAGUCUCAACCAUAAACGAUGCCGACUAGGGAUUGGCGGAUGUUAAUUGAUGACUCCGCCAGCACCUUAUGAGAAAUCAAAGUUUUUGGGUUCCGGGGGGAGUAUGGUCGCAAGGCUGAAAACUUAAGGAAUUGACGGAAGGGCACCACCAGGCGUGGAGCCUGCGGCUUAAUUUGACUCAACACGGGGAAAACUUACCAGGUCCAGACAUAGUAAGGAUUGACAGAUUGAGAGCUCUUUUCUUGAUUCUAUGGGUGGUGGUGCAU